AUUGAACGCUGGCGGCAUGCCUUACACAUGCAAGUCGAACGGCAGCACGGGAGCAAUCCUGGUGGCGAGUGGCGAACGGGUGAGUAAUAUAUCGGAACGUGCCCAGUCGUGGGGGAUAACGUAGCGAAAGCUACGCUAAUACCGCAUACUAUCUAUGGAUGAAAGCGGGGGAUCGCAAGACCUCGCGCGAUUGGAGCGGCCGAUAUCAGAUUAGGUAGUUGGUGAGGUAAAGGCUCACCAAGCCGACGAUCUGUAGCUGGUCUGAGAGGACGACCAGCCACACUGGGACUGAGACACGGCCCAGACUCCUACGGGAGGCAGCAGUGGGGAAUUUUGGACAAUGGGCGCAAGCCUGAUCCAGCAAUGCCGCGUGCAGGAUGAAGGCCUC
RNAcentral lists this ribosomal RNA (388 nucleotides) under uncultured bacterium. Its description in RNAcentral is "bacterial SSU rRNA". It matches the Rfam family "Bacterial small subunit ribosomal RNA", at positions 30 to 418 of the family's 1533-position model. The record is from RNAcentral.